ACUCAAAUGAAUUGACGGGGGCCCGCACAAGCAGCGGAGCAUGUGGAUUAAUUCGACGCAACGCGAAGAACCUUACCAGGUCUUGACAUCCAAUUAAAGCUGUUGAAAGACAGUGUCCCUCCGGGGGAAUUGAGACAGGUGGUGCAUGGUUGUCGUCAGCUCGUGUCGUGAGAUGUUGGGUUAAGUCCCGCAACGAGCGCAACCCUUACGAUCAGUUACCAGCGGGUGAAGCCGGGGACUCUGAUGGGACUGCCGUGGAGAACACGGAGGAAGGUGGGGACGACGUCAAAUCAUCAUGCCCCUUACGAUCUGGGCUUCACACGUGCUACAAUGGCCGGAACAAAGGGAAGCGAGAGCGCAAGCUGGAGCGGAACUCAUAAAACCGGUCUCAGUUCGGAUUGUGGGCUGCAACCCGCCCACAUGAAGUCGGAGUUGCUAGUAAUCGCGGAUCAGCAUGCCGCGGUGAAUGCGUUCCCGGGCCUUGUACACACCGCCCGU
Molecule: ribosomal RNA, 498 nt
Filed under: uncultured bacterium
Lineage: Bacteria
Description: bacterial SSU rRNA
Rfam family: Bacterial small subunit ribosomal RNA
Source: RNAcentral